RNAcentral lists this small RNA (306 nucleotides) under Pan troglodytes (chimpanzee). Its description in RNAcentral is "processed transcript". The record is from RNAcentral. Lineage: Eukaryota; Metazoa; Chordata; Mammalia; Primates; Hominidae.
CCGGCUCUUCGCCGUGGCCCCCAACCAGAACCUGAAGGAGCAGGGCCUGCGGGACAUCGCCAGCACGCCGCACGAGCUCUACCGCAACGACUACGCCACCAUGCUGCCCGACUCCACCGAGAUCGACCAGGACACCAUCAACCGCAUCAUCAAGGUCAUGAAACACGAAGCCUACGGAGAGGUGAGUGGCACUUCCCUUCCUGCCAGUGCUGGCCGGCAGCUGCCCCAGCAGAGAUGACCGCGCCAGGCUGCCGACUCGUGGCGCCUCCAAGCUGGAACAGAUGAGAGGAGAGGGAGUCACCUGCU